UUCCCUUUUUUUCUUUUUGUUUAACAUAUUUCCCUUUUUGAAACCCUAAGGCUUUGGCUCCUCGACACUCUUCGGCCGAGGGAUCAGUCCCGAGUUUCAAUCGAGCUACCUCAAUGUCACUGACCCAACCUAGAGAGUUCUCUAAAUAGCUAUGUUGUAGCAGGUGGAGGCGGCAACAACAAAUCUAGUGGCUGAGCAAGACAUGCCUGUGUACCUUCUUCCUUCCAAGAUCCUUUGUCGGGUCAUCAAUGUGAAGCUCAAGGCAGAUCCCGACACAGAUAAGCAAGAUGAGAACGUGGUUGAGAAAGAGCCUCCAGUGCCACCACGGUGAUGCCCUUUUCUGCACUCUGUGUCUGCAACUAGAUAAAUGGAGUCUCAGGUAUAAGAAGAUCAACAGUGUAAUCAGUAGCAAAGAGUAAAAACCCAAAGGUCAUGACCCACUCUCUCCACCUUUCCCCCAGCGAAAAAAAAGGAAAGAAACGCGAUAACAACAUACUUACUGAACCUCCUUCGUCUUUCUCUGUAUCCUUUCACCUCGCUCAACCCGCAAAGUCUACCACCGGACUUUUCCAUGUUCAAAAGCUCAUAUCCUCCUACAAGGUAGCAACCUGUCCUCAUUUGCAGUGGCUCCCAGUGCUUCCAAACCGUCCGACAGCCCAGUGUUGCUCGGUGACUCGGCGGAUAAAUCAUUAUCUUCAUGUUUUGACAAAUCGAGACACUAAACUUUAGCCAAGCAACAACCGAGGUGCUAUUAAGAAGGAUCAGUUAUUUUGGAAAGUACCCCAACUAUUAAUCCCAAAUUCAUAUUCUCGGUAAGAGACAAGAUCUUUUCUUUCUUCUUGAAUAUUUAUACGAAGCAUCUCUAUUUGAUAAGUCUGAAUGGCCAUAGAUGCCAAUAGAGAAGAUCUAAACAGGAGGUUUUUAGUAACCCAGCUAUAUUGGCCCAGCGGAAAAGAACUGGUUUUUACAUUUCGUGAUUUUAGUCAGCAGGGAUACUCCAACAUGGAUUCCAAGUGGGUUCUAUCCCUACUUCAUAUGGGAUGAGUGUAUUUGAUGAUCUUGGUGCACAAUUGGGAGAUUGGUGUUGCUUGAGGAGCUUUGGUGAGGCUUGGGACUAAGAUUGGUAGAGACUUCUAAAGAAGAGGCUCAAUUGAUUUGGCUACAAGAGGUACAGUUU
This is a long non-coding RNA of Arachis duranensis, 1177 nucleotides long. RefSeq lists it as uncharacterized. The transcript is spliced from 11 exons. The record is from RefSeq and is a predicted model, not a curated record. NCBI's taxonomy places the organism in Eukaryota, Viridiplantae, Streptophyta, Magnoliopsida, Fabales, Fabaceae.